RNAcentral lists this ribosomal RNA (261 nucleotides) under uncultured bacterium. RNAcentral describes it as "partial 16S ribosomal RNA". It matches the Rfam family "Bacterial small subunit ribosomal RNA", at positions 524 to 776 of the family's 1533-position model. The record is from RNAcentral.
GACGGGAGGGGCAAGCGUUAUUCGGAAUGACUGGGCGUAAAGGGCGUGUAGGUGGCAAUUGAAGUUAUAAUUGAAAAACUAUGGCAUAACCAUUUAAACGAUUAUAAAACCAAUAAUAUAUGCUAAAGAGUUCGAUAGAGGAUAGCGGAAUUUCUAGAGUUAACGAUGAAAUGUUGAGAUACUAGAAAGGACACCAAUGGCGAUUGCAGCUAUCUGGAUCGGUACUGACACUAAGGCGCGAAAGCACGGGGAGCAAACAGG